Molecule: ribosomal RNA, 1410 nt
Filed under: Klebsiella pneumoniae
Lineage: Bacteria; Pseudomonadati; Pseudomonadota; Gammaproteobacteria; Enterobacterales; Enterobacteriaceae
Description: bacterial SSU rRNA
Rfam family: Bacterial small subunit ribosomal RNA
Source: RNAcentral
GAAAAGCUCGAGCGGUAGCACAGAGAGCUUGCUCUCGGGUGACGAGCGGCGGACGGGUGAGUAAUGUCUGGGAAACUGCCUGAUGGAGGGGGAUAACUACUGGAAACGGUAGCUAAUACCGCAUAACGUCGCAAGACCAAAGUGGGGGACCUUCGGGCCUCAUGCCAUCAGAUGUGCCCAGAUGGGAUUAGCUAGUAGGUGGGGUAACGGCUCACCUAGGCGACGAUCCCUAGCUGGUCUGAGAGGAUGACCAGCCACACUGGAACUGAGACACGGUCCAGACUCCUACGGGAGGCAGCAGUGGGGAAUAUUGCACAAUGGGCGCAAGCCUGAUGCAGCCAUGCCGCGUGUGUGAAGAAGGCCUUCGGGUUGUAAAGCACUUUCAGCGGGGAGGAAGGCGUUGAGGUUAAUAACCUUGUCGAUUGACGUUACCCGCAGAAGAAGCACCGGCUAACUCCGUGCCAGCAGCCGCGGUAAUACGGAGGGUGCAAGCGUUAAUCGGAAUUACUGGGCGUAAAGCGCACGCAGGCGGUCUGUCAAGUCGGAUGUGAAAUCCCCGGGCUCAACCUGGGAACUGCAUUCGAAACUGGCAGGCUAGAGUCUUGUAGAGGGGGGUAGAAUUCCAGGUGUAGCGGUGAAAUGCGUAGAGAUCUGGAGGAAUACCGGUGGCGAAGGCGGCCCCCUGGACAAAGACUGACGCUCAGGUGCGAAAGCGUGGGGAGCAAACAGGAUUAGAUACCCUGGUAGUCCACGCCGUAAACGAUGUCGAUUUGGAGGUUGUGCCCUUGAGGCGUGGCUUCCGGAGCUAACGCGUUAAAUCGACCGCCUGGGGAGUACGGCCGCAAGGUUAAAACUCAAAUGAAUUGACGGGGGCCCGCACAAGCGGUGGAGCAUGUGGUUUAAUUCGAUGCAACGCGAAGAACCUUACCUGGUCUUGACAUCCACAGAACUUUCCAGAGAUGGAUUGGUGCCUUCGGGAACUGUGAGACAGGUGCUGCAUGGCUGUCGUCAGCUCGUGUUGUGAAAUGUUGGGUUAAGUCCCGCAACGAGCGCAACCCUUAUCCUUUGUUGCCAGCGGUCCGGCCGGGAACUCAAAGGAGACUGCCAGUGAUAAACUGGAGGAAGGUGGGGAUGACGUCAAGUCAUCAUGGCCCUUACGACCAGGGCUACACACGUGCUACAAUGGCAUAUACAAAGAGAAGCGACCUCGCGAGAGCAAGCGGACCUCAUAAAGUAUGUCGUAGUCCGGAUUGGAGUCUGCAACUCGACUCCAUGAAGUCGGAAUCGCUAGUAAUCGUAGAUCAGAAUGCUACGGUGAAUACGUUCCCGGGCCUUGUACACACCGCCCGUCACACCAUGGGAGUGGGUUGCAAAAGAAGUAGGUAGCUUAACCUUCGGGAGGGCGUCGUU